AUCAGCAGCCAUACCACCAGCAGUUCAGACACAGUAAUUCGUCUUUAGCUAAGCACGUUUGGGUCUGGCUAGUACUUGGUUAGGAUACCAGCUAGGAAAGCUGGGUUGCUGCUAGAC
This 117-nucleotide ribosomal RNA is filed under the name Paramormyrops kingsleyae. Lineage: Eukaryota; Metazoa; Chordata; Actinopteri; Osteoglossiformes; Mormyridae. The record is from RNAcentral.